This 430-nucleotide ribosomal RNA is filed under the name Bacillota bacterium. RNAcentral describes it as "Firmicutes bacterium partial 16S ribosomal RNA". It matches the Rfam family "Bacterial small subunit ribosomal RNA", at positions 355 to 776 of the family's 1533-position model. The record is from RNAcentral. Lineage: Bacteria; Bacillati; Bacillota.
UAGGGAAUCUUCCGCAAUGGACGAAAGUCUGACGGAGUAACGCCGCGUGAGCGAAGAAGGUCUUCGGAUCGUAAAGCUCUGUUGUCAGGGAAGAACAAGUACCGUUCGAACAGGGCGGUACCUUGACGGUACCUGACGAGGAAGCCACGGCUAACUACGUGCCAGCAGCCGCGGUAAUACGUAGGUGGCAAGCGUUGUCCGGAAUUAUUGGGCGUAAAGCGCGCGCAGGCGGUUCCUUAAGUCUGAUGUGAAAUCUCGCGGCUCAACCGCGAGCGGCCAUUGGAAACUGGGGAACUUGAGUGCAGGAGAGGGGAGCGGAAUUCCACGUGUAGCGGUGAAAUGCGUAGAGAUGUGGAGGAACACCAGUGGCGAAGGCGGCUCUCUGGCCUGUAACUGACGCUGAGGCGCGAAAGCGUGGGGAGCGAACAGG